Molecule: ribosomal RNA, 503 nt
Filed under: Bacillus sp. BS89
Lineage: Bacteria; Bacillati; Bacillota; Bacilli; Caryophanales; Bacillaceae
Description: bacterial SSU rRNA
Rfam family: Bacterial small subunit ribosomal RNA
Source: RNAcentral
CUGAUGCGGGUGCUAUACAUGCAAGUCGAGCGGACAGAAGGGAGCUUGCUCCCGGAUGUUAGCGGCGGACGGGUGAGUAACACGUGGGUAACCUGCCUGUAAGACUGGGAUAACUCCGGGAAACCGGAGCUAAUACCGGAUAGUUCCUUGAACCGCAUGGUUCAAGGAUGAAAGACGGUUUCGGCUGUCACUUACAGAUGGACCCGCGGCGCAUUAGCUAGUUGGUGGGGUAAUGGCUCACCAAGGCGACGAUGCGUAGCCGACCUGAGAGGGUGAUCGGCCACACUGGGACUGAGACACGGCCCAGACUCCUACGGGAGGCAGCAGUAGGGAAUCUUCCGCAAUGGACGAAAGUCUGACGGAGCAACGCCGCGUGAGUGAUGAAGGUUUUCGGAUCGUAAAGCUCUGUUGUUAGGGAAGAACAAGUGCGAGAGUAACUGCUCGCACCUUGACGGUACCUAACCAGAAAGCCACGGCUAACAACGUGCCAGAGGCCCGCGGUA